Molecule: ribosomal RNA, 450 nt
Filed under: uncultured bacterium
Lineage: Bacteria
Description: partial 16S ribosomal RNA
Rfam family: Bacterial small subunit ribosomal RNA
Source: RNAcentral
GUGGGGAAUAUUGGACAAUGGGCGAAAGCCUGAUCCAGCCAUGCCGCGUGUGUGAAGAAGGUCUUCGGAUUGUAAAGCACUUUAAGUUGGGAGGAAGGGCAGUAAGUUAAUACCUUGCUGUUUUGACGUUACCGACAGAAUAAGCACCGGCUAACUUCGUGCCAGCAGCCGCGGUAAUACGAAGGGUGCAAGCGUUAAUUGGAAUUACUGGGCGUAAAGCGCGCGUAGGUGGUUUUGUAAGUUGGAGGUGAAAUCCCCGGGCUCAACCUGGGAACUGCCUCCAAAACUGCAUGACUAGAGUACGGUAGAGGGUAGUGGAAUUUCCUGUGUAGCGGUGAAAUGCGUAGAUAUAGGAAGGAACACCAGUGGCGAAGGCGACUACCUGGACUGAUACUGACACUGAGGUGCGAAAGCGUGGGGAGCAAACAGGAUUAGAUACCCCGGUAGUCC